This 7218-nucleotide long non-coding RNA is filed under the name Lupinus angustifolius (narrow-leaved blue lupine). Its description in RNAcentral is "long non-coding RNA (LANG_LNC003043)". The record is from RNAcentral. Lineage: Eukaryota; Viridiplantae; Streptophyta; Magnoliopsida; Fabales; Fabaceae.
AAGAGUACUGGACGUAACCUUCAGUGGACUAGAAGGUUAACCAAUAUAAAAAUCACUGUGUAUUCUCUUCUCCCUUAUCUCUUUCAUUUUAUCUUGAUUAUUUUUCUGCAUAUAUUUUCCGUUGCACGUUAACUCUUGAUUUUGCAGAAAAAGUGGCCAUAAUUUUUAAAGUCAACUAAUUCACCCAUCUUCUUAGUUGCAACCUCGUUCUUACAGUAUGGUUCUGCAAAAUGAGACAUUGAUCAUCAGAAAAUAUUAAGUGACAAUCUGAGCCCUUAAUUAGUUUGUUAACUGAUAUUAGGUUCACAUGAAAUUGAGGAACAUAUAGCACAUUAGUUAGUGUAAGGGACUUGUUGACGUUAAUUUUACUAGAGAUAAUGCUAGAAACCUUAUUGCCAUUUGGCAGUGUAAUGAGCAUAGGUGGUAUACAUUUGUAUGUAUUGAAAUGGCUCAUUUUAUGUAUGAUGUGAUUGUGACUCCAGUAUCAAAGAGCCAUUGAGAAUAAAUCUUACCUGAUGAAGAAAGAUGCAUAGUUGUGUUGAUUGUUGAGUGUGUAGAGUGCUUUUCUUCAGUCUUUGGCUGGUUCAAUAGGUCCAGAAUGCCUUGUACUUGUUGUUGUGUGAACAUUUUCUCUCCUUCUUGAGAUAACUUGAUCAAUUAAGGCUUCAUAUAUGUUUGUUCUUCACUGCCCAAGGGGAAGCUUGAUGUGGGGUUUAUUAUUUUGUUAAACUUUUGUUGAAAUCCAGGUUGAUACCCAUGUUUAAGGAAACAUGUGUCUAUUGUAUGAUUAGCUCUUUGGCAAUAGGUGCAAAACCUAUUUAUGGAAUUUCUUCCUCUUCCAUUGGAUCUACCACAUCUCCCCUAUAAUCUUGAUCUCUAAAAUUCGUGACAUAUUGGAUUGUCCCACAGGUACAAUGAUUGAUGCAUAUGCAAUUUCUAAUAGGCCUAAAAUUCUCUAUUUCUUUCCAUAAAGUCUUCAGUUGAGUGAAAAAAAAUCAGAGACAACGAGAUUACCUUGAUGCAAUUAGUAGAAAUAUUCUUGUAAUUAGGCAAUUCUAAAUAUAUCAACUUGGAAAUAUUGUUCUUACAAAUCUUUCCAAACCUUCAUAGUUGAGUCGAUCCAUAGAAUAGACUUGGUAGUGGGUUCUUCUAUUGAGUUUUGGAUCCAUGAUAGGACCAUUAUGUUGCAUCUCAUCCAUUGAUCAUGUAGAGGAUCUGUUGGAUGUGGUUGUGUCAAACUUCCAUCUAUGAAUUUUAUCGUGUUCUUGGAUUGUAAUGCCAAUUUGAAAGCUCAUGCUCAUGGAUGAUAGUUUCUUCCAUUCAAAACAGGCGUGACAAGGACUAGGGUUGGGCACUCACUAGCAUGAAGAUAAUAGGGAGUUGCAUCGCCAUUUAUGAAUGAUGAUAACAUAGACAAGUAAGAACAAAAGACAGAAAAUAGAAGGAAUAAUAAGAAAGAAAAAAAGAUUGUGAAUGAGGGGAAAUGAUUGGUGAUCAGAGCCGAUGUUCUGAUACCAUGUUAGCUUGCAGAGAAUUCAUGGGGUAAAGAAAAGAAGAGUAUUGAAUAAAUCUUGUAUUGAUUGAACUCUUUUUGCAAUGAAACAAGAUGUCCUAUAAAAAGAAAGCCCCCCAACUAACUUAACAAACCUGGAGACGAAAAACAGAAAACAGGUAAACAGAAAAACUAACCUAUAACUAAAAGGAAAAUGGGCUAAGGCCCAAUAAGCAAAGACAUAAAUAAGGAAAAGGAAAUUGGCUUGAAAAGUUGCUCUUGUAACAUAAGCUCUAGGAAGAAGGCAACAAUGGCAGUAAAGGAACACUAAUGAUUUUAACACUUUCUAAUGUUUGGCAUUUAAUAUUUUUUAGCUAAUGACAAUUUUAACCCCCUAACCACAUAUGAUAUUGCAUUCUAUUUUUAAGUUAUUUAAUAACUCAAACUCAACCGGUCUUUUUGGUGAUGAAGGAGGGCUUAGACGCCCGAGGACAAAAAAUGGAAAGCUAAAAUCUACACACGGCCCCUACAAUAAACUGUAGUAGCACUAUCGAACAUAAUAGGUACAUAUAAAAGCUUUUGUUCCUACAUCUAGCUCCAAAUCAUACUUAGCUAAAGCAUCAACAACCGAGUUUUCCUCCUUCUAAGUAUGGAUCGAAACAACAUUAGUGAUUUUAUUGAAGUAAUUCUAUCUUUAAUUAACAAAUUUCACACAAGGAUGAGAAUCCCUACGCACGAAAGUAAUUAGCUGGAUACGAUAAGUAGAGUCGAAUUACAAUAUCACAAUUUAGAAUCCUUUAUGUAGAAGAAGCCUUAAUAACCAUGGCUAAUUAAAAAUAAACACAUUAUUAUUGAAGUUUAAGGCAGAUGACAUAAUAGUUUAUGCAAAUUUCUAUAUUUAGGUAAUAAACAAGAAUAAUAUGUUAAUUAUCAAAGAACCUCUCUAAUCGUAUUGAACUUUUUAAUUGAAGAAUUGCUCUCCCGGUGGACAGUCUUGUUUUGUACAACUGUACUACAAAGAGACAUGAAUUAUGAAGUGUACUUGUUAUAAAUUUGAGCCACACAAUUCAUGGAUCUUCUAAGAGAUUUUGAAGAUGUCAGUGAACGGAAAGUGGUGGAAUUCAAUGUCCAUAAGCUUGUUUUUUUUUUUAAAAAAAGAUUAUUCUUCAUUAAGUUACUUUUUUCCUAAUAACUUUAUGAAAUUUAAGUAGGUUUUAAGUGUUUAAAUUGAAUUUAAUAUUUAUCAUUACUAUUGUUAAUACACAUAUAUUAAACUGUGUUUUUAUUUGGUCACAAUUAAUUAAUAGAAACUUAAUAAAGUAUAUUUAAACAUGAGGAGGGAGAGGGAUAGGUCGAUGGUUCGAUUCUUGUGAGUGACACUUGUUGAGAUGGACGGUCACGACUCCAAAAAAGAUUAGUUUCUUAUGUAAAAAGGUGAAGGAGUGCCCUUGAAUAUACCACAAAAACAAGAGGAUGACAACAAUCAAACUUUUAAGCAAACAAAAGGUCCUCUCAAGAAGAUAGGAGAGGCCACAACGUGGACUUCAAAAAAGUAUGGAAAUGUAAUGUAUCACCGAAUAUGAAAUGUUUAGUGUGGAAAAUCUUCUUGGGUGGAGCCCCGACAAAGUUAUGUCUUGCUCAAUGAGGUAUCUUAGGAGCACAUGUUCUACCAUGUUGUGCUCUACACGGGGAGGAGGGUGAAACAAUAAAUCACAUAUUUUUCACUUGCUCGAAGUUUUAUAAUGUUUGGCAAUAUCUGUAUUCCAGGUUUGGUCUUACCUCAAUUCUUCACGAUGAUUCUAAGGUAAACUUUUCUACUUAUAUGACUUUGUUGAGAUUGAUGAACAAGAAUAAACAAAGGUGGUUGUCACUUUGGUUCAUGACUAUUUGGAAUAUAUGGCUUGGGAGGAACAAUAUUAUUUUUGAAAAUUUAAGAUUUUGUCUUAAUGAGGUGAUCAAACUUAUAUUUUUAUAUUCUUGGAACUUCUUAAGAAUUUGUUAUAAUAGUUUAAAGUUCUUUUUUUGUGUUGGACGUUGAAUCCAUACAAGUGUUUUUUGGUAACUAAUUUUGUUUUUAUAUAUAAGAGUAUUACUUAUUCUCCUAGUUUUUUUUACUUUUCAUUUUUUAAUAAAUUUCAUUGAUAAUAAAAAAUAGUCCUAUUUAAUUAUUUUAAAAUUUAAAAAUUUAAGGAUUUAAUUAUAAAUAAUGCAUUAAAAUGUGUAAAAUUUUAAUGAAUCCCUAAAAAAAAGUUUAAAGAUCAAAUGAUCAAUUACUCUGAGCAACACUGUUGCGAGAAAUACUAACAUACUUUGAAAAUGGAAUUGUUCCUUAUACAUGUGAGCACCGAAUAGGAAAAGAAGAGUGAAUAAAUGGAUAUGCAUAUAUCCUGCAUAUUGAGAGAUUAGUUCUUUUAAGUAAGUGUAGUGUCAAAAAAAUUCUUUUCUUUUUAGUUUUUCUAAUGUGUGCUACCUCUUGAACUUGCAAGUAGCUAAUGUAAAAAAAAAAAUAGCAACUUGCAAUAAAUCUUGAGAGCUAAUUUAUUCACCAUUCGUUUUAAAUUUAAACUCCUUGAAUUUUAAAAAAAUUCCAUACUAUUUUUACAUCAUCUUCAUGUUCUUUUAACCCACCUUAAUCCUCCCUUUUCUUUUUCAUCAAACCCCACAUUUUGAUUUCCAUCAUCCCAAAGGUAUAUGCAUGCUUUUAGAGUCUUAGAUAUUAUUUUAUAUUUAUUACAUUUCCUUGUAAAAUAAGAAUAAUAUUUACUUGUUUUUCCAUAAUAACAAACAUUAUUCUUAUUUUUAUUUUGGUCGCAUAACUUAUUCAUUUCUGAACCAAACAUCUACAUUUUUUUUCUCUCUUCUUAUUCCUAUUUCUCUCUCAUUAUUCUUAUUUAAGAAUAGAAUUUAUAAAAUACGAAUAACACAACAGAAAACCAAGUAAGACUAUUAGAGUAUUCUUAUUCUAUUAAGAACACUUAAAGAACAAUUACCAUGAUUGCUCUUAAUUUAUCAUCCCAAUUUUUGUUUUCCUUAAUUGCUUUGUUUUCUUUAUUGAUUUUUGUUUUUCCUCUAAAUAACUUUAAAUACUAGUUUGUCCAAAAUACAACCAGAAUGGGAGAAACGAAAACAGAACAAACCAAGAAGAAAAAGAAGCGAGAGAUGGAUCCAAAUUUAAAAUCGGAUGUCAAUAAAUCAACUCAAAAAUCAAUCAGCAAGUACGAACCUGAAAUCCGUUAUGAGCAGCCCAUAAAAUAGAAGUCAGUGACACGAGCUGACCAGCCCAUCCAAGCCCAUUUCUUCAAUUGCAAUGAUACCUAAUCCAAUCAGAAGCAACACAAUGGCGAAAAAGACUUAUUUACAUACAGAUAAUAACCAAUAAAAUUUUGACAAAACAUAAAUGAUAAUAGGAUAAAAUAUAAAUAUAAUUGUCUUCAAAUAUGACUUAUUGUAUAUGUUCUCACAUAAAUUUUUCUCCAGAAUAGCGCAGUAAUAUCUUCAUAAGUAACAUCUAGUUAACCAAGGCGUUGCUGUAUAUAUGAUUCAUUGUGAUAAGAGGAGAGUAAAGCUAGUGCUUCUAUGAUAUAGAAAUAAAUAUAUGGCAGUAGCACAAGUAUUGACGUUAUGGCAACUUAACAUCUGCUCAGUGUGUAAGUUUUGCAAUUAUACAUCCAUUACAAUUUUCUUUAUAAGAGUGUAAUAUCUAUACAUCAACAAUAUAAAGAUUUAUAUAUAGUCAGUAUAUCAUCCACCAUUUAUUUGAAUUAUUUUUUCUGAAGAAAAAAAAUCAAUAAUAAUUAAAAUGAAAAAUGAACGAUACAAUCACAACGUAAAAAUCUCUUAUUUAUAAAUUUCAGCUUCAAUGAACAAUACAACGUGUCUCUUAAUUUCUCAUUGGGUCAAUGAUUUCAACGACAGCAAGAAAUGUAAGAGGUAUUUAUAUAGGAUUUAUCUACGGCUCAAUAUUGGUCCUAAAAGUAGUCAAAGUUCAAAACGUCAAAUACACAGUGACACAUGAUUGGCUCAGGUCCCAAAAAAAGUGUCACAACUUAAAAAUAUAUUUAAAUUAAAUUAAAUAUUUAAUAAUUAAAUAUUUUUUUAUUAAUACAAUUUGUGAGACAUAAAAUAUGUUCUAAUAUCUAACACCAUUAAAAGUAUUAAUGUUAUAUGUGAACAUAUAAAAAAUUUCAAAUUCUCGUUCUUCAUAUAUAUUAUAAGAUUCUACCAUUUUCUCUCUCCACUUCAUUUAUACAUUAAUUACUUGUGAUUAUUGAGUGAAAGUAUUUUGAAAAAAUAAUAAUAAUUUAAUAUACAUUAAAAAAAAGUCUCAUAAAAUGGAGAAAAUUCCAUCCAUCUAAACGUCUUGUAAAGAGAAAGGAUACAAGGUAGUAGUACACAUUUACUAACGAAGCUAAAAGAUUUCCAUUGAGGAGGCUAAAGAAGAGCAUUACUUUAUUUAUGACAACUAAAGUUAUAUUAUGUUCUACUAAGAGCCGGUAAUGAGUAAACUUCUUUUCGUUACCUCCAUUAUUUAGCUGGACUAUUAGGGUUAGUUUGAAAUUGAAGUUUGGAGGGGGAAAAAAUAGAAAGAGAAUACUUGAAAAUCAUGAAAUAUACUUGUGAGAUGAUUCUCAAGUCUUCUAUUUCCCAUUCAAAAUUCAACUCAUAAACUAACCUAUAAAGAUUCGUUUGGUAGUCAUGUUUUUGAAUUUUUUUGAUGAAAAUGGGAGACUUCAAAAAACAACUCACUAAGUAUAUUAUUUCAUAGCUUUCAAAUCUUCUAUUUCAUUUCAUUUUCUUCCAAAAUUUAAGUCGUAAACGAACUCUAAAGAUCCCUUUAUGAGAUAAGUUUUGAAGGGAAAUAAAAUAAAAUAGAAGAUUUUAAAAUUACCACACAAAUAUAUCUCAUAACUUUUAAGUCUUUUAUUUCAUUUCAUUCCUUUUCAAAAACUAACGCUUAAAGGCCAUGUCUCCACCACCUCUUCAUGCUUCAGCAAUCAUAGCAUUAGUUAGUGUCACAAAAAAGACAAACCAUAUUAAAAGACUCGGAAAACAAAAACAAAAGCAAAUUAAAAUUUCAUUCCUUUCUUGAUGAACAGGAACCGCUUGCACCAAAGAUUAUUCAUAUUUCAACUUGAAAUAUUCGAAGUUGGCUGUCUUGUAUUAUAGCGUGCUCUAUAAUGUGAUCAAGAAAAUGAAGAACAAAAUCUGUAGUAGUUGCAAGGAUGGAUUAUCAAAGAAAGGAUCAAAGACCUAAGAUACAAUCCCUAAGAAACAAUUCACAAAAGCCAUUAAUCUGUGUCAUACAACCGUGAUGGACAUCUAAAGUCAUUUUACUUCAUUAAAAUACCACUAAGCUAGCAAGUGAUGUGUUAAGUGCAAGUCAAUAAAAGAAUAGUAGUGGCUUACAAGAAUUAGAUUAAGUAGAAGCACUGGUUUUCAACACUUGGGCUUCAGAACAAGUCUUCAUCAACCAUGUCUUCAGGACAAGAACUGGCACCAUCCCUCAUACCACCAUUCAUUAUAAACACACAAAGGCCACAUCACAGUCUCCAACUACGUAUAGCAACACAUUUAAUGAUUUAAAAGUGUCGUCCAUAAAUUAAACGCACAUCUAUCAAGUUGAGGCCAAUAGAUGAGGGCACAGUUAGUUCAGUACAGCUGUAACGUAAGGUGCAUGCAUAAACUAAAUUAAAUAUGGAACUCCAAAUUCAUUUCCUAGAAAAACU